RNAcentral lists this ribosomal RNA (468 nucleotides) under uncultured bacterium. RNAcentral describes it as "partial 16S ribosomal RNA". It matches the Rfam family "Bacterial small subunit ribosomal RNA", at positions 28 to 507 of the family's 1533-position model. The record is from RNAcentral.
GACGAACGCUGGCGGCGUGCUUAACACAUGCAAGUCGAACGGACAGGCGCUGCUCUUGCGGGGUGCUCGAGUGGCGAACGGGUGAGUAACACGUGAGUAACCUGCCCUUGACUUUGGGAUAACUUCAGGAAACUGGGGCUAAUACCGGAUAGGAGCUCCUGCUGCAUGGUGGGGGUUGGAAAGUUUCGGCGGUUGGGGAUGGACUCGCGGCUUAUCAGCUUGUUGGUGGGGUAGUGGCUUACCAAGGCUUUGACGGGUAGCCGGCCUGAGAGGGUGACCGGGCACAAUGGGACUGAGGGACGGACCAGUCGCCUACGGGAGGCAACAGGGGAGAAUAUGACAGAAUGAGGGGGAGCCAGAGACGGCGGUGUCGCGUGCGUAAUGACGGCCUACGGGUUAUGAACCGCUUUCGCAGGUGACAAAGCGUGAGUGACGGUAAUUGAUAAAGAAGCACCGGCUAACUACGUG